This 492-nucleotide ribosomal RNA is filed under the name uncultured bacterium. Its description in RNAcentral is "partial 16S ribosomal RNA". It matches the Rfam family "Bacterial small subunit ribosomal RNA", at positions 30 to 507 of the family's 1533-position model. The record is from RNAcentral.
AUUGAACGCUGGCGGCAUGCUUUACACAUGCAAGUCGAACGGUAACAGGCUUUCGGGUGCUGACGAGUGGCGAACGGGUGAGUAAUGCAUCGGAACGUACCCAGAGGUGGGGGAUAACGCAGCGAAAGCUGUGCUAAUACCGCAUGUGAUCUGAGGAUGAAAGCGGGGGACCGAGCAGCAAUGUUUGGCCUCGCGCCUUUGGAGCGGCCGAUGUCGGAUUAGCUAGUUGGUGGGGUAAAGGCCUACCAAGGCGACGAUCCGUAGCUGGUCUGAGAGGACGACCAGCCACACUGGGACUGAGACACGGCCCAGACUCCUACGGGAGGCAGCAGUGGGGAAUUUUGGACAAUGGGCGCAAGCCUGAUCCAGCAAUGCCGCGUGCGGGAAGAAGGCCUUCGGGUUGUAAACCGCUUUUGGCAGGAACGAAACGGUGUCCGCUAAUACCGGGCGCUAAUGACGGUACCUGCAGAAUAAGCACCGGCUAACUACGUG